Molecule: ribosomal RNA, 496 nt
Filed under: uncultured bacterium
Lineage: Bacteria
Description: partial 16S ribosomal RNA
Rfam family: Bacterial small subunit ribosomal RNA
Source: RNAcentral
GAUGAACGCUGGCGGCGUGCCUAAUACAUGCAAGUCGAGCGAACGGACGAGAAGCUUGCUUCUCUGAUGUUAGCGGCGGACGGGUGAGUAACACGUGGAUAACCUACCUAUAAGACUGGGAUAACUUCGGGAAACCGUAGCUAAUACCGGAUAAUAUUUUGAACCGCAUGGUUCAAAAGUGAAAGACGGUCUUGCUGUCACUUAUAGAUGGAUCCGCGCUGCAUUAGCUAGUUGGUAAGGUAACGGCUUACCAAGGCAACGAUGCAUAGCCGACCUGAGAGGGGGAUCGGCAAACCUGGAACUGAGAAACGGCCCAAACUCCUAGGGGAGGCAGCAGUAGGGAAUCUUCCGCAAUGGGCGAAAGCCUGACGGAGAAACGCCGCGUGAGUGAUGAAGGCCUUCGGAUCGUAAAACUCUGUUAUUAGGGAAGAACAAAUGUGUAAGUAACUGUGAACAUCUUGACGGUACCAAAUCAGAAAGCAACGGCUAACUACGU